This is a long non-coding RNA of Gasterosteus aculeatus aculeatus (three-spined stickleback), 401 nucleotides long. The record is from Ensembl. NCBI's taxonomy places the organism in Eukaryota, Metazoa, Chordata, Actinopteri, Perciformes, Gasterosteidae.
CGCACCUUCUCUGCGACACGAAGGUGACUUAACAGAGCUCCACAUCACACGAUACAAGACGGAAAGUAUGCAGGAGGGACACUUUCUGUGACAGGAGCUGCAUUGUUGACAUUGGCUUCCUGACGUCAUGCCGGCCCCCAUUCACAACAACGGCCAAGCCCCCCUCUGCUAUGGAGACGGAGCCCCCCCCGCCUUGGUUUCGCGUACUGAGACUGUACACGUCAUUAAAGUACGGAAGAUUAUUGUUUUUUAUUAAAGCUUUUUUGGUCUGCUCAAUAACAUUUCAGUAAAUAAUUUAAUAAUUUAAUUUACAAUUUCCCGAAACCCAAAUGGAUUCAUAUGUCUUGAAUCGAUGAAGUCCACAAACAUGAGAUAUUCUUACCAAUUAAAAGUAAAAAAAA